This 396-nucleotide ribosomal RNA is filed under the name uncultured bacterium. Its description in RNAcentral is "bacterial SSU rRNA". It matches the Rfam family "Bacterial small subunit ribosomal RNA", at positions 140 to 518 of the family's 1533-position model. The record is from RNAcentral.
GGGAUAACUCGCGGAAACGUGAGCUAAUACCGAAUGAAGUCUUUCGCCGCCUGGUGAAAGGAUGAAAGAUGGCUCUUGAGCUAUCACUUACAGAUGGGCCCGCGGCGCAUUAGCUAGUUGGUGGGGUAAAGGCCUACCAAGGCGACGAUGCGUAGCCGACCUGAGAGGGUGAUCGGCCACACUGGGACUGAGACACGGCCCAGACUCCUACGGGAGGCAGCAGUAGGGAAUCUUCCGCAAUGGACGAAAGUCUGACGGUGCAACGCCGCGUGAGUGAAUGAAGGUCUUCGGAUCGUAAAACUCUGUUGUCAGGGAAGAACAAGUUGUGUUCUAACAGGACAUGACCUUGACGGUACCUGACCAGAAAGCCCCGGCUAACUACGUGCCAGCAGCAGC